CGGCAACAGCUCAAAUUUGAAAUCUGGCCUCCUUCGGUGGUCCGAGUUGUAAUUUGCAGAGGGUGCUUUGGCGUUGGCAGCGGUCUAAGUUCCUUGGAACAGGACGUCACAGAGGGUGAGAAUCCCGUACGUGGUCGCCCGCCUCCGCCGUGUAAAGCCCCUUCGAC
Molecule: ribosomal RNA, 167 nt
Filed under: Setoseptoria arundinacea
Lineage: Eukaryota; Fungi; Ascomycota; Dothideomycetes; Pleosporales; Lentitheciaceae
Description: partial large subunit ribosomal RNA
Rfam family: Eukaryotic large subunit ribosomal RNA
Source: RNAcentral